AAGCAAUUACAUGUUUGGAAUUGAAAUGUAUGGUAAUAUAAUACAAUAUAAAUGAAUGGAUAAAUCGUGGUAUAUCCAUGCAAUGGAAUACUACUCAGCAAUGAAAAGGAAGAAACUAUUAAUGCACUUAAGAUCAUUGCUGAUUUUCAAAUUAAUUAUCCUGUGUAAUAAAGAAUUUGGCCUUUGUCCCCAGUUCCUGGGAGAUAGGCUCUAAAUCCUUGGAAUUUUCCAAGUCGAAGAGUGUCUUUUUUACUGGUGGUUGGCCUGUCAACCACACUUGAGUUUAUGCUAAUGAGGUGACUCAUGAUGGGACCUUACACAAUUUAUGCUAAUGGAAUGACUCAAGAUGGGGGCUGGCCAUGCCAGAAAAACCAACCAUGUAUUUAGAAGGUUGGGGCUUUGAGCUUUUGAUAUAGGCCUGACUUCUGGGGAGAGGAGCAGGGCUGAAGAUUGAGUCAUAGGCCAGUGAUCCAAUGAGUCAUGCCUAUGUGAUGAAGCCCCUAAUAAAAACAAUGGAUAUCAAAGCUCGGGUGAGUCUGACUGCUUGGCUACGCUCAGUGUCUUGUCUCACAUCAGUGUGCUGGAAGGGUCCUUUGUCCUGACUCCACAAGGAGAAGACAUGGAAGCUUCAUGUUUGGGACACUCCCAGUCCUUGCCCUGUGCAUCUCUUCUUUUGGCUGGUUCUGAUUUUGAAAACUUUGGCUACAAUAAAACUGUAAUAAUAAGUGUAGUUCUUUCGUGGGUCUUGUGGGGUUUUCUAGUGAAUUACCAAACCUGAGAGGGGAGUGGGAAGCCCCCAAAAUUGUGACUGCAUCUGAAGUGGGAGCAGUCUUGAGCCCUUAACCUUGAGCCUAGCUCCUGGUAGUUGUUGUCAGAAGUCAUUGCAAUUAUGCUGAGUAAAAAAAGUCAGAAUAAAAGAGGACAUACUAUAGUCUUUAAAAAUGCAAAUUAACACACAGUGACAGAAAGUAGAUCAGUGGUUGCCCGGGACCAAAUUACUAGCUGCGUGACCUCAGGCAAGUUACUGAACCUUCGGUUCUGCCAUCUGAAACUGGAGAUGCUAAUGGUGACUACGUCCUAUGAUUACUUGAUGAGCUAGUACGCGUACACCACGUACCUUGUUUAGAACAGUGCCUGGCCUAGAGUGACCACUCAAUAGUUGUUAUUUGUUUCACUGCAAAUGGAAACAUUUGGCAAAGAACUGUUGAGACAAAUAGAGCUGGAAAGGACAACCGAGUAAACAGUGCUUGGUUAACCACAUCAGAAUCACUCGGAGAUUGCUCCAAAAAUGCAGAUUACUGAGCCCCACCUGUGAGAUUCUGGUGGAACCCAGGAACCUGGCUUUUUGCAAAUGCUCCUCCUACUUGGAUCGACAGCCAGACUACCGGCACAGAAGAAAAUGCCCCAAAUUUGGAGUAAGGAAAUCCAGGACUCUGGUAGUAUUUCUGCCAGUGACCCAGUGUGUGACUUCUGAGACUACACUUUCUCAUUUGUAAAAUGCAGAUAACAAAUUUGAUUUAUUCAUAGAGUAGUUGUGGGGGUCACAUUACUAAAGUCAUUUCUGUCGGGGAAGCUGGCUUAGUGGGGUGAAAGGAAUGCAGGCUUUGCAAUAAGCUGGACCCGGCUGUGAGUUCCAUCGUGGAGGCCGCUGCAGAUGUCGUUAGUUGCCAAUUCUAUAUCCAGCCCCCUCUUCCUAACGCAACCCUGAUUUUGCUUGGUGUGUAACUGUGCCUAGUUGAAAAUACUUCCUCCCAGACUUCCUUGCAGCUGGGUGGCCAUGUGACACGGUUCUCUCUGCUGAGGAGUUUCUGGGAAGGCUUAUCUUUCCUUUUUCUUGUUUGUUUGUUUGUUUGUUUGUUUGGAAACAGGGUCUUGCUCUGUAACCCAGGCUGGAGUGCAUUGGCACAAACAACUCACUGCAGUCUUAAACUCCUGGGCUCAAGCUAUCCUCCCACCUCAGCCUCAUGAGUAGCUGAGACUACAGAUGCACACCCCAUACCUGGCUAAUUAUUAUUUUUUUUUAAGAGACAAGGUCUCACCAUGUUUCCCAGGCUGGUCUCCAACUCCUGGGCUCAAGCAAUCCUCCUGCCUCGGCCUCCCAAAGUGCUGGGAUUAUAGGCGUGAGCCACCCACCGUGCAGCCUAUUUUCUUGAUACAGACACUUGUUCCUGUUUCUCCCUUUGCCCUAUUGUCUUCCCCUUUUCUUACUGCCUGGAACAUGGAUGAAAGGCUUGGCAGAGCAGCAGCCAUCUUGUUCCUAUGAGGGUACAAAUCUGGGAGGGUAGCUUACAGGCUGAGUAUGACAGUGUGAGGAGAUGAAAAGAUUCUAGAUCCCUAGUGGCAUCAUCCAGCAGUGGCAGCAUCUCUGGGCUGCCCACCCCUAAAUGUUUUAUAUAUAUAUGAGACAAAUCUCUAUUGUUUAGGGUGGAGGUAAUUUUUUUGUUGAUUAUUUGUACCUUAAACUUCUUAGGGAGAAUUAAAAAACAAAUAAAGGGCCAGGUGCAGUGGCUCACGCCUAUAAUCCCAGCACUUUGGGAGGCUGAGGCGGGCAGAUCACGAGGUCAGGAAAUCGAGACCAUCCUGGUCGACAUGGUGAAACCUCAUCUUUACUAAAAACACACACACACAAAAAAUAGCUGGGUGUGGUGGUGCACGCCUGUAAUCCCAGCUACUUGGCAGGCUGAGGCAGGAGAAUCGCUUGAACCAGGGACUUGGAGGUUGCAGUGAGCCGAGAUGGCGCCACUGCACUCCAGCCUGGCGACAGAGUGAGACUCUGUCUCAAAACAAAACAAAACAAAACAAAAAAACAAACAACAACAACAACAAAUAAAGAUCCUAGAACCAUGUCUGACCCAGUGGACAUUCAUAUAUCUGCUUCCCCUUCUCCAGCUGUGAGACGUUUUCUGCAUUUGUGCAGUGAGGCUUCUUCUAAAUUCAAUAUCCUAUGUUUAACUAAUGAUAAGGUCGAAGAAUUGGGCCCUGGGACUGGCCUCUGAAAUAAAUGGCCCUUUAUUCCAGGCCCUUCCCCUGGGGGAGUUUGGGAAGGCAGAAGCACUAGUUUGUCACUCCCAAAACCCCACCAAGUGCCUGGGCACAGGUACAGCAUGGAGAACCUAUAGCACCCUGACCUAUGGAGAUGUCUGCACCCCAAUAAAACAGAUGUUAAAAUCUCCAUGUGCUUUGUGAGGCAGAGCAUGCAAAAUGUGAGUUCAAAAGACAUGAAAUUGCCCCUGCUCUGAUGUAAAUAUAGAUGAUGAUUCUAAGUGGGACACACAUGUGUGAGAAGGUAAGAAUGAAACCUAUUAACCUCCCACUUCCCCCCCAACACACAUACAUUUCCCAUUAUUUUCUCCUGUUGGAAGUACUUGGGUGUGAGUGUGGGCACCUGUAUACCAGUGGGAACAGAAAGGAGUUUGUUUUCAUUACCAUCCUUUUUUUGAGAUGGAGUCUUGCUCUGUCACCAGGCUGGAGUGCAGUGGCAUGAUCUCAGCUCACUGCAACCUCCACCUCCAGGGUUCAAG
This 3521-nucleotide long non-coding RNA is filed under the name Homo sapiens (human). RNAcentral's name for it is "HSALNT0236976". The record is from RNAcentral. Lineage: Eukaryota; Metazoa; Chordata; Mammalia; Primates; Hominidae.